This 274-nucleotide ribosomal RNA is filed under the name uncultured bacterium. Its description in RNAcentral is "partial 16S ribosomal RNA". It matches the Rfam family "Bacterial small subunit ribosomal RNA", at positions 523 to 796 of the family's 1533-position model. The record is from RNAcentral.
AUACAGAGGGUGCAAGCGUUAAUCGGAAUUACUGGGCGUAAAGCGCGCGUAGGUGGUUAGUUAAGUUGGAUGUGAAAGCCCUGGGCUCAACCUGGGAAUGGCAUUCAAAACUGGCUGACUAGAGUAUGGUAGAGGGAAGGGGAAUUCCAGGUGUAGCGGUGAAAUGCGUAGAUAUCUGGAGGAACAUCAGUGGCGAAGGCGCCUUCCUGGACUAAUACUGACACUGAGGUGCGAAAGCGUGGGUAGCAAACAGGAGUAGAAACCCCAGUAGUCC